This is a long non-coding RNA of Eptesicus fuscus (big brown bat), 738 nucleotides long. RefSeq lists it as uncharacterized. The transcript has 3 exons. The record is from RefSeq and is a predicted model, not a curated record. NCBI's taxonomy places the organism in Eukaryota, Metazoa, Chordata, Mammalia, Chiroptera, Vespertilionidae.
CUUCAAGUGACCAGCUUGGGUGGUUAGGGAGACUGUGCCACUGAAACCUAUCGAACACCUAAUAUGUAAGGCCACUCUACCAAGCCUGGAGACAUUUGGGACAGAGACACACAGAGGGAAGCCAUAUGAAGACAUAAGGAGAAGAUGCUCACCUACAAGACCAGGAGAGAGGCCGCAGAAGAAACAACUCUGCUGACACCUGAUCUCAGACUCCUAGCCACCCAGUAUGUGCUGCUUGGUUAUGGCAGUCCUCACAAACUGAUACAUACGAAAACAACUCCGAGACCAUGUGGAUUCCUGCAACAGAGAGGAAUUGACAGGAGUGCUCCAGCCAUGAAGACAGAAGAGAAACAGUCCAGAGAUGGAAGACGCUGACGAUGCCUUGCCAUACUAGCAGUCAGCAGAUGUGCGUCACUGCAGAUUGCCCAGGACCAAACCAGAGAGGGUUGGACCUUCAUUACCACCAUUUGUCCACCAUCCAGAACUGAAAUGUCAUUGCUGUUAUGUACACAUAAAGAACUGUUGGACAUAGAAAUUGGGACUCAAAAGAACUGUUGGCCCAGAAAGAAACUCACUAUAGACUGAUUCAUUUGCCUCUCAGCAUAACCAUUAUUGCUUGUCUCAUUUUCAGUUCCUAUAAGUGUAUUCCUAGUAUCACAUGAGCUCACUCAUCUAGGGGAAAUGAUGAACAACAUAGACUGAAGAACAAGAACAGCAUCGAUCAGACUGUCAGACCUC